This 253-nucleotide ribosomal RNA is filed under the name uncultured bacterium. Its description in RNAcentral is "partial 16S ribosomal RNA". It matches the Rfam family "Bacterial small subunit ribosomal RNA", at positions 524 to 776 of the family's 1533-position model. The record is from RNAcentral.
UACGGGGGGAGCAAGCGUUGUUCGGAUUUACUGGGCGUAAAGGGCGCGUAGGCGGCGUAACAAGUCACUUGUGAAAUCUCCGGGCUUAACUCGGAGCGGUCAAGUGAUACUGUCGUGCUAGAGUGCGGAAGGGGCUACUGGAAUUCUCGGUGUAGCGGUGAAAUGCGUAGAUAUCGAGAGGAACACCUGCGGCGAAGGCGGGUAGCUGGGCCGACACUGACGCUGAUGCGCGAAAGCCAGGGGAGCGAACGGG